RNAcentral lists this ribosomal RNA (253 nucleotides) under uncultured bacterium. RNAcentral's name for it is "partial 16S ribosomal RNA". It matches the Rfam family "Bacterial small subunit ribosomal RNA", at positions 524 to 776 of the family's 1533-position model. The record is from RNAcentral.
UACGUAGGUGGCAAGCGUUGUCCGGAUUUACUGGGUGUAAAGGGCGUGUAGCCGGGCUGACAAGUCAGAUGUGAAAUCCGGGGGCUCAACCCCCGAACUGCAUUUGAAACUGUUGGUCUUGAGUAUCGGAGAGGCAGGCGGAAUUCCUAGUGUAGCGGUGGAAUGCGUAGAUAUUAGGAGGAACACCAGUGGCGAAGGCGGCCUGCUGGACGGCAACUGACGGUGAGGCGCGAAAGCGUGGGGAGCAAACAGG